GAACGUGACUCUGAAAAGCCAAAAUUCUGAAUGAAUUAUACAUCUAUGUUCCUGGAAUAUGAUUUUUUUAAUUAUUAAAAGUAACUACAAAAACAUGUUAAUACUAAUGUUUGCACCCACCUAACCCAAAAUUUGACUGAAUUUUACAUAUAGGUUCUUCACUUCAUUUAAUUACAAGAACCUUAAGUAUCAACAUUGGGCAACCGCGCAAGGCAGUUGUUAUCGUAGAACUAAUAGUGUUGUAGGUACAUCAAUGCAACCACACCUUUGUCAAAUCUGUUCACCGCGGAGCAUCUGUGUCAGAACCUUUUUAGCCAUGUGAUGAAAGUAUGGCCAUGGAACUUCCAUGCGGUUGUUGUAAUAUCUGAAGGCAUAAUGCGAUCUAUACAUCCACCACUUUUGCAUAUUGACCAACCAAAUUUGCUGCAUUCAUCUCCUUCCUUGCUUUGGUCUGCAAAAUGACAAUAUUAAUAUGGCCCAUCGUAGCUAGAACGCAAGGAUUUUGUAGGCAACAGUGUUACUCCAGUGGGAGUAAUGUGAGACUGCGAGAACAAAAAAUAAAAAAUAAAGAAAAGAAAGAUCUGGCGACGAGGACAAGUGUAGGAACCAUAAACUAUGUAUUUCAUUAAUCAUCGGAAUUACAAAAUACAUAGUUCGCCUGAACUUGUCUUUCGCUAUCUUCUACGCCAUUGCUCGGAGAAGGUUCUGACUUGUAAAUUGUGUAGUUUGCUGAUUCCCGGGGCCUUAUGCGAGAGAGGCUCACCCGGUUAAUUACAUCUACAGAGUAAAAUCUGUAGAACACCUCCGAUUAAGCUGCGCAUAGUGGUCGUCGUGUCUCCAGGAUGAAUGCAAGGUGUAUGAUGUGAGUGGCUUUAGAAUUGCCAAAACUCAAUCAUGACUAUGCCAUUGUCACGUUGGUUGGUAAACGGGAUGCUGUUGAUGAAGAGGAUGACUUUCGCCUCGUCGGUGCUUAGUCACGUGUCCGCUGGUCUUUAUCAGCUCGAACGGAAGUGUUGCCUUCGCCUCGUCGGUGCCCAGCAACAAUGUGUUCGGUCUCGUUUACACAAGACGUGUCGUCGGAAUAAUAAUGAUAAGUUUCACCAAUAAUUUGGCCAUCACUUUAUCAAGUUUGGUCAAUAUUAGGUGUAGGUGGAUAGCUUCUUCAGCCCAUCAGAUGUCGCCCUUUUAGGUAGCGAUAGAAGAAAUUGUUAAAUCAAUCUGGUAUGCAACAUCGGAUGAUCAAAUCAAUUCAACCCGGCAUAAACAUCGGAUUUUAGAUUAAUCCGGAAUAACCAUCAGAUUAGUAGAUCAAUCCGGCAUAACCAUCAGAUUUUUAGACUAAUCUAGAACGCAAGCGCAACGUCAGAUUAUCAAAUUAAAUUAAUCCGGCAUAAACAUCCGGAAUAAAUCAUCGGAUCUUCCUGGAAGCAUUGCUUUGCAACGCAAGUCCUAGGGUGCUUCCAUAUCUGGAAUAAAUCAUCGGAUCUUCCUGGACGCAUUGCUUUGCAACGCAAGUCCUAGGGUGCUUCGACAUCUGGAAUAAAUCAUCGGAUCUUCCCGAACACGUUGCUUUGCAACGCAAGUCCGAGGGGCUUCGACAUCAGGAAUAAAUCAUCGGAUCUUCCUAGACGCGUUGCUUUGCAACGCAAGUCCGACGGGCUUCGACGUCCGGAAUAAAUCAUCGGAUCUUCCUGGACGCGUUGCUUUGCAACGCAAGUCCGAGGGGCUUCAACAUCCGGAAUAAAUCAUCGGAUCUUCCUGGACGCGUUGCUUUACAACGCAAGUCUGAGGGGCUUCGACAUCCGGAAUAAAUCAUCGGAUCUUCCUGGACGCGUUGCUUUGCAACGCAAAUCCUAGGGCGCUUCGACAUCCGGAAUAAAUCAUCGGAUCUUCCUGGACGCGUUGUUUUACAACGCAAGUCCUAGGGUGCUUCGACAGGCUAGACACUGUAGGGCAGAUAAUAAGUAAAUAAUAGAUUAAACAUUAAUCUCACCAUUGAAUACGAAUGCCAUCUGGUGGAUUGGAUGCUGGCUGUUGCACGUGCUGCUAAUGAUCUGCUGCGUGAGGCUGGCGUGCGACGUUGGCGACUGGGAAUUGUUCCUGGUGGCGGCUGGCUCCGAUCUCCUCCCUGGUGCUCCCUCUGGCGCUGUCGGCGUGGACUGGCCAUGCGUGGUGGCUAGGCGGUCCUCUGGUGGCUGUUGCGCGUUCGUCCGUCCCCC
Molecule: long non-coding RNA, 2219 nt
Filed under: Zea mays
Lineage: Eukaryota; Viridiplantae; Streptophyta; Magnoliopsida; Poales; Poaceae
Description: long non-coding RNA (ZMAY_LNC003606)
Source: RNAcentral